Molecule: long non-coding RNA, 578 nt
Organism: Pocillopora verrucosa
Lineage: Eukaryota; Metazoa; Cnidaria; Anthozoa; Scleractinia; Pocilloporidae
Source: RefSeq, a predicted model, not a curated record
CUCGCCAGUUGGUAGAACAUCUUUAUACAGUUCAGCCAGUAACUUGACAAGAAGAGUUUCCUCUGCGAAACAGGAUUCCACGUCGAGCACAUUUGUGAUCAUGAGGACCCUUGGUGUUAUCAUACUGGCAGCCAUGAUCGUCUUGGUGACGUCACGUGUUCGUUAUUCGGACAAACCGGAAUCACCGCGAGAAGCAAAAUAUAGCCCACUUAAAGCAUUCUGGGAUAAGAUCCAAAGGGAUGAAGAUUCAAAGUGCAACCGAUUCUGCCAAAAAUUGUGCAAUAGGUUUGACCCUGGCAACUGUGCCAUCUGCGGUUGCGGAGACCAAUAAGCCUUUUCAAAAUCAGUGGCUGGCAUUGCAUCCCAGGAGUGUGGAUUCCGCGGGAAGCAGUUAUUCUUUUUUGACGUAUCAAAACAAGACUUCUUUCAUGAGGGCAUAUGCGUUAUCAUUAAUCAUCAAAAGUUUUUGCAAAGUUUAGUUGUUUUUUCAUCACUUUCCUAAUAGUCUAGUACCGUUGUUAUCAAUGAAAGUAGUCGCAAGCUAUUUUGUAAUUAAUUUAGAUCAUUCUGAUUUUCAA